RNAcentral lists this long non-coding RNA (802 nucleotides) under Vombatus ursinus (common wombat). Its description in RNAcentral is "lncRNA (ENSVURG00010023418.1)". The record is from RNAcentral. Lineage: Eukaryota; Metazoa; Chordata; Mammalia; Diprotodontia; Vombatidae.
CCUUGAGAUAAUUGCCCACAUCUCCACUUUGAGCAAAUAGUAUUAGUAUUUGGGGUUCCUUGGAAAGGCUUUAAGGAGGAAAUAUCCAGGGUACUAGGCAGGAAAUAGGAGUGAGGACCAAGGACGAUGCAGAGCUAUCAUGGCCCAGGGGUUGGCUCCCCAGCCUCAGUGGGAGACGAUGGAGGGCCUUGGCCCACUUCUGGUUGGUUGGAUCCCAAGCCCAGCCCAGGAAGGUCAGCCAGUUCCUCUUGCAGUAAGGAGCUGUUUCAUUUGCUCUUGGAUCCAUAAGCACCUUUCUGCUUGAUAAGUGCUGAUGUAAACUGUGACUCCUUGUUUGCUGGACUUUUACGCCUCAAGCAUCAAUUGAGCACCUGCUGUAUACCAAGCACUGUGUUAAGGGCUGGUGAGAAAAGAGAAUGUAAACAGAGAAAAACAAAACAAUUCCUGCCCUCAGGACCAGGAGCCAGGAAAUCAUGUCAGUGGUCUGAGGGUUGGUCCCUCGACGAAUUAAGUCUUGGGUAUUGCUUCAUUUUAGGGAAAAAUUAGUGUACCGUCAAUACACCUAUAUACCUGACAUGAGGCUAAGAGCUGACUGUAUAAAAGAUGCUACACCAGUGUGUGCCCUUGAGAAGCUCGGUCUAAUGGGGUAGACGAUGCAGACAAGUAAGCACAGACAAGCUGAAGACAGGGUAAGUUGAGGGAAGGUGCCAGAAUUAAGCAGAGCUGGGAAAGGCUGGCUUCCUGUGAAGGUAAAUGUUGUGUGGAGCGAACGCUGCUCCUAACACGUAUUCUCAUCAGUGAC